CAAUUUACUCCAAUUCACCUCAAAGCAAUUAAAAAAAAUGAAUAGCAUUAAUACAAGUACAGUCAAUAUAAUCUGCAAAAGGGAAAUGAAACUAGAAACAGAUGCCCAAGAACCAAACCGCAGAUGCAACACGAAACCAAUAACAAUAUGGAACCAAUACUAACCAUAACAUUGCCUCAUUACCAAAAGUUAAACAACAGUUCUUCGAGACUACAUAGCAUAGCUUACAAGACUUUUUAAUACAACAGAGUUAACUAAAACUUAGAGAGUAGCUGGGUUUAGAAAAAACCUACUUAAAGACAAAGGAAAUGGCUG
Molecule: long non-coding RNA, 315 nt
Filed under: Eutrema salsugineum
Lineage: Eukaryota; Viridiplantae; Streptophyta; Magnoliopsida; Brassicales; Brassicaceae
Description: long non-coding RNA (ESAL_LNC000215)
Source: RNAcentral